GAGUUUGAUCAUGGCUCAGGACGAACGCUGGCGGCGCGCUUAACACAUGCAAGUCGAGCGAGGACCUGGCUUCGGCCAGGGGAAAGCGGCGAACGGGUGAGUAACACGUGGGCAACCCACCCUUGGUAUCCGGAUAGCCCGGGGAAACUCGGAUUAAUACGGAAUGGCCCAACAGCUCUUCGGGGCGGUUGGAAAAGGUAGCUUCGGCCUCCGACCAAGGACGGGCCCGCGGUGGAUUAGCUUGUUGGUGAGGUAACGGCCCACCAAGGCGACGAUCCAUGGCUGGUCUGAGAGGACGAUCAGCCACACUGGGACUGAGACACGGCCAGACUCCUACGGGAGGCAGCAGUGGGGAAUCUUGCGCAAUGGGCGAAAGCCUGACGCAGCGACGCCGCGUGGGGAAGAAGGCUUUCGGUUGUAAACCCUUUCAGGAAGGACGAAGCCACUCGGGUUAAUAGCCCAGAGGGUGACGGUACUUUCAGAAGAAGCCCCGGCUAACUACGUAGCCAGCCGCCGCAGU
This 520-nucleotide ribosomal RNA is filed under the name uncultured bacterium. RNAcentral's name for it is "bacterial SSU rRNA". It matches the Rfam family "Bacterial small subunit ribosomal RNA", at positions 9 to 521 of the family's 1533-position model. The record is from RNAcentral.